UACAGAGGGUGCGAGCGUUGUUCGGAAUUAUCGGGCGUAAAGGGCGCGUAGGCGGUGCGGUAAGUCACCUGUGAAAUCUCCUGGCUCAACUGGGAGCUUGCAGGCGAAACUGCCGUGCUGGAGUGUGGGAGAGGUGCGUGGAAUUCCUGGUGUAGCGGUGAAAUGCGUAGAUAUCAGGAGGAACACCUGUGGCGAAAGCGGCGCACUGGACCACAACUGACGCUGAGGCGCGAAAGCUAGGGGAGCAAACAGG
RNAcentral lists this ribosomal RNA (253 nucleotides) under uncultured bacterium. RNAcentral describes it as "partial 16S ribosomal RNA". It matches the Rfam family "Bacterial small subunit ribosomal RNA", at positions 524 to 776 of the family's 1533-position model. The record is from RNAcentral.